CUAAGCCCAUUAGCUAGGGUUGUGGCUCAACCUUAGUGUGGGUAAUUGAUGGGUGUUGCUUUCAAAUGAUAGAUUGCUAUUGGGUAUUUGUUAUUUAGGUUAAUUUUAUUCUUAAACUAAGGAUUAGUGGUUGCAAACAUUGAUUCUAGCUUAGUGGGAUUUGACUCUUCUUGAGAAAGAGAGUCUAUGACCCUCAAAUUGACCCAACAAGGAAUAAGGAUGAACCCAUGAGAAAUGGUAGUCCCAAUUAACGGGUUAAAUCUCGAGAGAGUAAUCACCCUACUUGAAACCUAGUUGCUUGGUCUAAUUGGCCUACAUAAUUGGUCUCUCGAGAGUCAAUCGAGAAAAAUCACUCUCUCUACCGAGAGGUGUGAGAGUGGGUACAAUUGUGUAAUGGUUAUAGCAUAAAUCCCGAAUAUAUCAAUCUAUUCUUAGUAGUUUCUGCCCGUUAGUUAACCACUUAGGUGAUGCAAUGACCCUAGUGCCUUUCUUCCUAUUAGUUACAACCAAACAACAUUUUCUUAGCAUAAUUUAGCCUUCAUCUUUAGUUCAUAAUAGUAGUUGUUAAUACAAAGAAAAUCAAAAAAUGUUAGGAGUGAAAUUAGAAGUACAAACACAAUCUAGGCUAAACAGAUAAUGCAACUCCAUUCCAAGCUCCCUGUGGAAAUUCGACCCCGAACCACUAUUCGGGUAAACGUUGUAGCAACCCACUCUCCCUACAUUUUUGUAGCAUCGAGUUGGUAGCGAUCACUGCCUACAUAUAUCUGGUCAUGAAGGAAUCAUGCCAUAUAUAGUUCGAAAUCUGUCGACGGAGUAUGCCGAUGGAGACUUUCAAGAACGAGCGCAGUAUUUAUGAUGGGGUAAUGGUUGAAGUCUAAUAGGGUUGAGGGAACUGGAGCGAAAUUUCUCCUGCCAAGACGGUCGUUGCUUGCCGGUUUACUUGCAAAAACACAAGCGUAUAUUGUGCGUAAACUUCAACAUGAUGCAAUUUCCGAUCGGACCAUGAAUGUUGUCUUUGAAUGUUUAGGAUGAUAUCCUAGGCCAUGAAGCGUAUGAAAUAGUAUUCGCAUGCCAUGAAAUGAUGUUCUUGGGCUAUGAGAAUGAUGCCUCCAAACUAUGAUGCCUUUGAAUAAUGAUAUGAAAAAGACAAGAGGGGUCUUUAGGCCAUGGAAUGGCGUACUCGGGCUAUAAAAAUGGUGCCUCCAAACAAUGAUGCCUUUAGACAGUUUGGCGAUCUUUCAGCCUAUGAGAUGCAGUAUUUGGAAAUCUUUCAGCCCAUGCGAUGCAGAAGGUAGCAAUCUUUCUGCCGUGCAAAAAUCUGAAUAAUGCGGCGACAUUUCAGCCAUGCAAGUGUAGAUAGGGCAAUUUUUUAGCCAUGCAAGAUGUAGAUAUGGUGGCGAUAUUUCAUCCAAUGCAAAUGUAGAUAAAGUGGCGAUCUUUUAGCCGAUGCAAACGUAGAUAGUGUGGUAAUCUUUCAGCUAUGCAAGUGCAGUAUUUGGAGAUCUUUCAGCCCAUGCAAUGCAGAAGGUGGCAAUAUUUUAGCCGAUGCAAGAUGUAAAAUGAAGGUGGCAAUAUUUCAGCCGAUGCAAGAUGUAAAAUGAAGUGCCGUUAUUUCAGCUAUGCAAGAUGUAAAAUGAAGUGACGAUAUUUUAGCCAUGCAAGUGUAAAAUAAAGUGGCGAUAUUUCAGCCAUGCAGAUGGAGAUAGAGCUUAGUCUAAGAAGGUAGAAUAGUAGCCUUAUGCAAUGCAGAGAAUAUAGAUGGAGAUAGUGCUUAGUCCCGGAAGUUAGAAUGGUAGCCUUAUGAAAUGCAAAAAAUGCAGAUGGAGAUAUAGCUUAGUCUCGAAAGGUAGAAUAGUAGCCUUAUGCAAUGCAGAGAAUGCAGAUGGAGAUAGUGCUUAGUCUCAGAAGGCAGAAUGGUAGCCGUACGCAAUGUAAAUGCAGAUAGAGAUAGACCUUAGUCACAAAAGGUAUAAUGGUAGACUUAUGCAAGAAGUACAAGGGUAAAUGAUAAUGGAAUUUUCUUAGCUGAUAGCGGAUUGAGAUAUUUCCAAUGCUGGAGAUAUUGUGUGUGUUAGGGACACAGCGUGCACAUAGCAGUUGUGAGUAAGUGUGACGGUUUUGAGAGUUCUAUUCAUAUUUGAUGAUUUUUGCAACUCAGAUACAUGCGUCCAAAGAAAAAUCGUGACUUUUUUAAAAGGAAACAGUUACAAGUAGGUGCACAUAAGGGUUUAGGGGAAUGGGAAAUUGAAAAGACUAGGCAAGUUGUGGGCAUACCCAUCAAUGGAGAGUGCUAGUAUACCUAGAAGCCUACUAGAACACACUAUUAGAGGCUAGGAUCCCAAAGGAUCAAGUUUACUUCAUGUGCAAUAAUUUGAAUAUUGUCAUGCCUUAAACCAUAGCUCAAACACAUAAAGGCAGGGGUGUUUGGAUUCGCAAUAGGAACAAACAGAAGGAAAUCAGCAUGCUAAGUUAGGUGUUGAAUGCUGCAGAAACACUCAGUAGAAAUGGAUACAAAAGCAGUAUAUUCACAUUGUUGCGGUGCUAAAGAUUAAAUCCAGAUAUAGAGACAAAUUGAAAAAACAAUAGGUCUUGUAAACAGGCCACAGUGGAGACAAAACAGAGAAUACUAAUAUGUAUAAAUGUGAGUUCAGAAAGACUGUGAAUGAGUGAUAGCUUGUGAAAGAGGCGUGCCUUUAUAGUGGGAAAAUCAGGCAGAAAUAAGGUAAGAAAGCAGUUAAGGAACUGAUUAUCCAUUAAGAAUCAACCACACAUGACUACUUUUAAUUAAAGAAUUCAAAUUCAAACCGGAAAACUAUUUAAGGGGAAGAAGUCAAAUAAACAUCUUGUGCAAAGCAUGCCAUUAGGGGAAAAUACAGAAAAAGUUAUUAAAAGACAGAAUUUUGAAAUACACAGUUGUACGAAUAAGGUAAGAAAAUCAAUUAGUAGCCAGUAAAUCAAGAAUAAGAGAUUUGUAAUUAUUGGUCCAUGAAUGAACCAGGUCAAAAAAGCUGAGAAAGAUUUUAACUUAAGUCAAAUCACAAGGAAAUCAGCAAACAAUGGAAAAAAAUCAAUCAGACCUAUUAUGAACGAAGUCUGAACCAAUAACAAAUUUGAAAGCUAUUUUAGAGAGAAAUUCAUCACAUAUAAAGAGUACGCAAGUGUCAGGCAUUCAAGAAGGGAUCAAGAAAAGGUCUUAAGAGUCUGGAAAAAGUCAGAAACACAUGAAAAAACAAAAUUAAAAUAAUGAUUCUGAAGCUUAAUGAAGCAUUAGAUGAAACAAUUCCAGGAACUCAAAAUAGGUCAAAAAUUAGCGUUUCAAAAUCAGGCAAGUUUCAAAGAUGAAGAGCCACCAAAUUACGUAGUCAGCAUUCUCAAAAGCUCAGCUGAACCCCAAAAUUUAGGGUUCUUGUCAUUAACUGAGUACAGAGACAAAACUGCAAGUGACUAAGGGGAAGAUACCCUACUUGAAAAUAGGUUCAGGGGUCUCAGAAAAGGACUGAGACCCUUAACAUGUCUUUCAGCAGCAGAAAACUCAUGAACAACAUAGUAAAAUAAUAUCAUGUGAAGCACUGUAGAGCAACACAAAGGAACUGAUAAGAAACAUAAAUGAAAAUUAAUAAGAACAAUAUGAGAAGCAAAUUAAGAAGCAUAUCAGCAAAAACAUGACUAGAACACUUAAUGAGAAACACAUGCAAGAACAUAAUAGAGGAAAGUACAGUAAAAGAAAUACACAAAAGAAAGAAAAAGUUAGAGAAACAUUUAAAUAUUCUCAGAAAAAACCCUAGGUCGGAAAAAGGGAACGGUUUUGAUAGAAGUUUUUUGAAAGAUAAGUAAAGAAAGUUGUUUAAAAGCUUAAGUAGAGCAUAGAUCUAGAGCAAAUCUAAACGGAUUCGAAAAACCUCAAAGCUAGGGUGUUCAGAGAAAUCCAAACAGUGAGAAAAGGCUUGGAUCUAAACAGAAGGAGUUGUAGCCGGCUCGAAACAGACACAGCUUGUUGGAGCAGGGCUGGAAAUGGCCGUAAAGCUUGAAUCAAGAGAGAUCUAGACCCAACUCUUCGUGGUCAUGCUACGAGUUUUCAAUUAACCAAACGUGAUGAGCCAUAGGUGGCUUAAUGGACUGUGAAAUCGCCAUAGAUUUAGGUUAGAAGGUGGACGGAGAAGACAAACAAGACUCGUCGGAUAGGAGGGGAGGGGGAAGGUUCUCUAGAGAACCAGAAGUAGAGAGAUAGAGAUAAAUGAGGGUAAUUGAGGGGUAUUGAGGGAGGG
RNAcentral lists this long non-coding RNA (4265 nucleotides) under Nicotiana benthamiana. RNAcentral describes it as "long non-coding RNA (NBEN_LNC024200)". Lineage: Eukaryota; Viridiplantae; Streptophyta; Magnoliopsida; Solanales; Solanaceae. The record is from RNAcentral.